Molecule: long non-coding RNA, 1045 nt
Filed under: Cairina moschata (Muscovy duck)
Lineage: Eukaryota; Metazoa; Chordata; Aves; Anseriformes; Anatidae
Description: domestica (muscovy Duck (domestic type)) lncRNA (ENSCMMG00000013356.1)
Source: RNAcentral
UGGAGCUGUGACAGGGGAGGGUCAGGCUUGGUGUUAGGAAAAGGUUCUUCACUGAGAAGGUGUUUGGGCACUGGAAUAGGCUCCCCAGGGCAGUGGUCACAGAACUGAGCCUGACAGAGUUCUAGAAGUGUUUGGACAAUGGUCCCAGACAUAGAGUUUGAUUUUUUUGUGCGUUCCUGUGCAGACCCAAGAGUUAGACUCAAUGAUCUUUGUGGGAUGAUUCUGAGUUGUGACUCUGGAUAGUCUAUGAUUCUGUGAUCCCAGUCUUCCCUGUCUACUUGUCCACCUAGAAAUUAAAGCCUGAGGGGAAGACGUGGACCACAUCAUGUCCCUUGUAAGUCAAUGUAUUAGGAUUGUGGUGUGGUGAGAAAGGAGGUGCUGACAAACCCAGGCUGCAAGCAGUCAUCUAUCUUCACUGCUCAGAUGCUUCUGCUGAUCUUAGCAUUGAUGUGGGGAGAAACUUAACUGCUCCCAAACUGCUUAGUGCUUUGUAGGUCAAAACCGACACUACACAUUCUCCUCUGCAUUUAAUAGUCUGAGCAGGUCUUCCUGCAUUGGUUCCUUUAGUUCUUGGGUGCAGACAGUGUGUGGCACUGCAGUGCCUGAUCUGAAGAGCACUCACAUCUUAGAGCUCUGUGGUAGGAGUCAUGUCUGGGAGUUUUUCUCCUUUUUGGAACUCCUGGCACUUAAUUUUCACACUUAAGCUCUUUCUGAAAUAUUUGUUUGAACAGUGUCUGGACUCUGCAGCUUUAGUUAGGCUCUGGUUGCCUGUCUGGCAGAGGCAGGGGAACAGUCGGUGUUCACAAAGCUGUUGGGCAAAGUGAAGGAUGCGCAGCCCCUGGAUGCACAGACCCUUGUGUCCUUACCGAAGCUGUUUCAAGAUGUGAAUCCCAAGCUGAGAGCAGCCUUGCUGGAGAAGGAACGGGACAGUGGAGAAGCUCUGCAGCAAACAGGUAGAGAACUGGGCACAGUUCUGGCAAAGUGAGUGGGUAGCCAUACAGACAAAGCACCUUCAAAGACCUGGUUACACGUCCCUCUGGCAGGC